RNAcentral lists this long non-coding RNA (445 nucleotides) under Medicago truncatula (barrel medic). RNAcentral describes it as "lncRNA gene35344". The record is from RNAcentral. Lineage: Eukaryota; Viridiplantae; Streptophyta; Magnoliopsida; Fabales; Fabaceae.
UCUAUUGCUAACAAUAUUUUGAGAAGAAUUGACAACCUUUCUUGUCCAGAAUUAAAAAAUUGUAGAAGCCUACUAAGGUUUAUUUUACAGGAUUUAACGAACUGAUCUGGUGUGAUCAAGAAUUUAUGGUGCUAGUCAUAAGUUUCUGUUAGCAUGAUACUAUAGUGGAUAAUCUUACACAAGGUGUGGGGACUGAAAGUAGCCGAGUUUGGUGAACUAUGAUAAAUCUCAGGUGGUUUGAGGAAUAUAAUGGAAAUAAUAAAGAGAAGACAGUGCAAAGCAGGAAAGAUGCAUCAAUUCACAAUUAUAUAGCACAAUAAAAACAACAACCUAAGCAGUUUCCACGCACUCUGAUUCAGAAAAUGUCACUCCUUUUUUCUUCAUUUUAUUUAUGAGAUUAUUAUUCUCAUUAUUGUGCUUUGAUGUUUGAAUUUAUACUGUUGUA